AUUGAACGCUGGCGGCAUGCCUUACACAUGCAAGUCGAACGGCAGCACGGGUGCUUGCACCUGGUGGCGAGUGGCGAACGGGUGAGUAAUACAUCGGAACAUGUCCUGUAGUGGGGGAUAGCCCGGCGAAAGCCGGAUUAAUACCGCAUACGAUCUACGGCUGAAAGCGGGGGACCUUCGGGCCUCGCGCUAUAGGGUUGGCCGAUGGCUGAUUAGCUAGUUGGUGGGGUAAAGGCCAACCAAGGCGACGAUCAGUAGCUGGUCUGAGAGGACGACCAGCCACACUGGGACUGAGACACGGCCCAGACUCCUACGGGAGGCAGCAGUGGGGAAUUUUGGACAAUGGGCGAAAGCCUGAUCCAGCAAUGCCGCGUGUGUGAAGAAGGCCUUCGGGUUGUAAAGCACUUUUGUCCGGAAAGAAAUCCUUGGCCCUAAUACGGUCGGGGGAUGACGGUACCGGAAGAAUAAGCACCGGCUAACUACGUG
RNAcentral lists this ribosomal RNA (486 nucleotides) under uncultured bacterium. RNAcentral describes it as "partial 16S ribosomal RNA". It matches the Rfam family "Bacterial small subunit ribosomal RNA", at positions 30 to 507 of the family's 1533-position model. The record is from RNAcentral.